GUUUCUAUGAAACAACUGUUGUAAUCUAAAAACUUAAGCUGUUAAAGAACGGUAUUUAAAUAUUUUUAUAUUUAACACUCCCUCUCACGUCUGGACUCAAGACUUUUUAGUCAGCCCAUGACGUGGGCUUGAAUUAAACGGAAGAAUUAAUAUACUAGGAGCCUGGCGUGACUCGAACUCAGGACCUCCUGCUCUGACAUCAUGUGAAACAACUGUUGUAUUUUAAAAACUUAAGCUGUUAAAGAACGGUAUUUAAAUAUUUUUAUAUUUAACACUCCCUCUCACGUCUGGACUCAAGACUUUUUAGUCAGCCCAUGACGUGGGCUUGAAUUAAACGGAAGAAUUAAUAUACUAGGAGCCUGGCGUGACUCGAACUCAGGACCUCCUGCUCUGACAUCAUGUGAAACAACUGUUGUAUUUUAAAAACUUAAGCUGUUAAAGAACGGUGUUUAAAUAUUUUUAUAUUUUACAGUUUCGUAUGAUAAA
Molecule: long non-coding RNA, 486 nt
Filed under: Ananas comosus (pineapple)
Lineage: Eukaryota; Viridiplantae; Streptophyta; Magnoliopsida; Poales; Bromeliaceae
Description: long non-coding RNA (ACOM_LNC041702)
Source: RNAcentral